ACACUGCUAAGGAAUAACAGGAUAUGCCCUUCUAAACAGUCUCAAACACCAUCACUCAUACCUACAAGUGGCACCUGUUAAGCGGUGGGAUAUAUUCGGCAGCAAGUGAACAGUCAGUUCUCGUAGUUGACGUGUCGGAAGCAGGAAAAAUCGGCAAGCGUAAGGAUCUGAAUGACUUUUCCAAGGGCCAGAUUGUGAUGGCUAGACGACUGGGUCAGAGCGUCUCCAAAACGGCAGGUCUUGUGGGGUGUUCCUGGUAUGCAGUGGUCAGUACCUACCAAAAGUGGUCCAAGGAAGGACAUCCAAAGAUCCAGUGACAAUCAAGGCUCACACUGAAAAUAUGAGCGAAA
Molecule: long non-coding RNA, 350 nt
Organism: Ictalurus punctatus (channel catfish)
Lineage: Eukaryota; Metazoa; Chordata; Actinopteri; Siluriformes; Ictaluridae
Source: Ensembl